GAUGAACGCUGGCGGCGUGCCUAAUACAUGCAAGUCGAGCGAACAGAUGAGGAGCUUGCUCCUCUGACGUUAGCGGCGGACGGGUGAGUAACACGUGGAUAACCUACCUAUAAGACUGGGAUAACUUCGGGAAACCGGAGCUAAUACCGGAUAAUAUAUUGAACCGCAUGGUUCAAUAGUGAAAGACGGUUUUGCUGUCACUUAUAGAUGGAUCCGCGCCGCAUUAGCUAGUUGGUAAGGUAACGGCUUACCAAGGCAACGAUGCGUAGCCGACCUGAGAGGGUGAUCGGCCACACUGGAACUGAGACACGGUCCAGACUCCUACGGGGGGAAGCAGUAGGGAAUCUUCCGCAAUGGGCGAAAGCCUGACGGAGCAACGCCGCGUGAGUGAUGAAGGUCUUCGGAUCGUAAAACUCUGUUAUUAGGGAAGAACAAAUGUGUAAGUAACUAUGCACGUCUUGACGGUACCUAAUCAGAAAGCCACGGCUAACUACGUG
RNAcentral lists this ribosomal RNA (497 nucleotides) under uncultured bacterium. RNAcentral's name for it is "partial 16S ribosomal RNA". It matches the Rfam family "Bacterial small subunit ribosomal RNA", at positions 28 to 507 of the family's 1533-position model. The record is from RNAcentral.